GGAAGUAAAAGUCGUAACAAGGUCUCCGUUGGUGAACCAGCGGAGGGAUCAUUACUGAGUUUACGCUCUACAACCCUUUGUGAACAUACCUACAACUGUUGCUUCGGCGGGUAGGGUCCCCGUGGCCCUCCCGGCCUCCCGCCCCCCCGGGCGGGUCGGCGCCCGCCGGAGGAUAACCAAACUCUGAUUUAACGACGUUUCUUCUGAGUGGUACAAGCAAAUAAUCAAAACUUUUAACAACGGAUCUCUUGGUUCUGGCAUCGAUGAAGAACGCAGCGAAAUGCGAUAAGUAAUGUGAAUUGCAGAAUUCAGUGAAUCAUCGAAUCUUUGAACGCACAUUGCGCCCGCCAGCAUUCUGGCGGGCAUGCCUGUUCGAGCGUCAUUUCAACCCUCAAGCUCUGCUUGGUGUUGGGGCCCUACAGCUGAUGUAGGCCCUCAAAGGUAGUGGCGGACCCUCCCGGAGCCUCCUUUGCGUAGUAACUUUACGUCUCGCACUGGGAUCCGGAGGGACUCUUGCCGUAAAACCCCCCAAUUUUCCAAAGGUUGACCUCGGAUCAGGUAGGAAUACCCGCUGAACUUAAGCAUAUCAAUA
This 592-nucleotide ribosomal RNA is filed under the name Colletotrichum theobromicola. RNAcentral's name for it is "eukaryotic LSU rRNA". The stretch from base 229 to 382 matches the Rfam family "5.8S ribosomal RNA". The record is from RNAcentral. Lineage: Eukaryota; Fungi; Ascomycota; Sordariomycetes; Glomerellales; Glomerellaceae.